Molecule: ribosomal RNA, 465 nt
Filed under: uncultured bacterium
Lineage: Bacteria
Description: partial 16S ribosomal RNA
Rfam family: Bacterial small subunit ribosomal RNA
Source: RNAcentral
GACGAACGCUGGCGGCGUGCUUAACACAUGCAAGUCGAACGGAAAGGCCCUGCUUGCAGGGUACUCGAGUGGCGAACGGGUGAGUAACACGUGGGUGAUCUGCCCUGCACUUCGGGAUAAGCCUGGGAAACUGGGUCUAAUACCGGAUAGGAGCCAUUUUUAGUGUGAUGGUUGGAAAGUUUUUUCGGUGUAGGAUGAGCUCGCGGCCUAUCAGCUUGUUGGUGGGGUAAUGGCCUACCAAGGCGGCGACGGGUAGCCGGCCUGAGAGGGUGGACGGCCACAUUGGGACUGAGAUACGGCCCAGACUCCUACGGGAGGCAGCGGUGGGGAAUAUUGCACAAUGGGCGCAGGCCUGAUGCAGCGACGCCGCGUGGGGGAUGACGGCCUUCGGGUUGUAAACUCCUUUCGCUAGGGACGAAGCUUUUUGUGACGGUACCUAGAUAAGAAGCACCGGCUAACUACGUG